GACGAACGCUGGCGGCGUGCCUAAUACAUGCAAGUAGAACGCUGAAGAGAGGAGCUUGCUCUUCUUGGAUGAGUUGCGAACGGGUGAGUAACGCGUAGGUAACCUGCCUUGUAGCGGGGGAUAACUAUUGGAAACGAUAGCUAAUACCGCAUAACAAUGGAUGACACAUGUCAUUUAUUUGAAAGGGGCAAUUGCUCCACUACAAGAUGGACCUGCGUUGUAUUAGCUAGUAGGUGAGGUAACGGCUCACCUAGGCGACGAUACAUAGCCGACCUGAGAGGGUGAUCGGCACACUGGGACUGAGACACGGCCAGACUCCUACGGGAGGCAGCAGUAGGGAAUCUUCGGCAAUGGGGGCAACCCUGACCGAGCAACGCCGCGUGAGUGAAGAAGGUUUCGGAUCGUAAAGCUACUGUUGUAAGUCAAGAACGAGUGUGAGAGUGGAAAGUCACACUGUGACGGUAGCUUACCA
RNAcentral lists this ribosomal RNA (472 nucleotides) under uncultured bacterium. RNAcentral's name for it is "bacterial SSU rRNA". It matches the Rfam family "Bacterial small subunit ribosomal RNA", at positions 28 to 485 of the family's 1533-position model. The record is from RNAcentral.